RNAcentral lists this long non-coding RNA (420 nucleotides) under Homo sapiens (human). RNAcentral's name for it is "HSALNT0048831". The record is from RNAcentral. Lineage: Eukaryota; Metazoa; Chordata; Mammalia; Primates; Hominidae.
CUCACACAGCACAGCAGGCCACAGUCUACAGAGUACGCCAGGUAGAGCGGUUAGAGUGGCAGCCGCUGGAGAAAGGGUUAUAGAAACACAUCCCUGACUCUUUGGUUAUGUCCACGUCCUCUGUGUCUCCUUCCCCUUCCCUACUCUCCUUCCUUUCCGCCUCCCUGUCUCCCUUGGAAGUCCCUGUUGUCAGUGCAUUUCAGUGCAUUGACGUGUCCUAAACACUGAUCUCCACACACCUUCUUUUAUCUUCCACCUGAUAGGCAGGCCCCAGACCCCCUUUUUUCCUAGCUUUGUUCUGCCCACACAAGCCCACCUGCUAGUUGGAACCCAGAUACCAUUUUCCUUCAGAACCUCUCUCCCUGUCCUUGGGCAGCAGCAACUGCUCCCAGACCUAACCAGUGCUGACCACCACUGCCC